Molecule: ribosomal RNA, 253 nt
Filed under: uncultured bacterium
Lineage: Bacteria
Description: partial 16S ribosomal RNA
Rfam family: Bacterial small subunit ribosomal RNA
Source: RNAcentral
UACGUAGGUGGCGAGCGUUGUCCGGAUUUACUGGGCGUAAAGGGAGCGUAGGCGGAUUUUUAAGUGAGAUGUGAAAUAAUCGGGCUCAACUUGAGUGCUGCAUUUCAAACUGGAAGUCUAGAGUGCAGGAGAGGAGAAUGGAAUUCCUAGUGUAGCGGUGAAAUGCGUAGAUAUAUGGAGGAACACCGGUGGCGAAAGCGGCUCUCUGGCCUGUAACUGACACUGAGGCUCGAAAGCGUGGGGAGCAAACAGG